AGCUUCUGUGCUAAUGGACGUCCGUCUGGGGUACGUUGAUUUAGACAAGCCUUAUUUUGGGAAGAUUGCUGAUUUAUCCACGCCUUCCGAAGCAGGCUGGCAACAUGGUCAUGGUCAACACCAUCCGCUGGUUCCGGAAGGGACUGAGGCAGCACGACAAGCCGUCUCUGAUCGGCAUCAACAGGGUUGCGGGGGUGCUGGAGCCUAUCCCAGCUGUCUUCGGGCGAGAGGCGGGGUACACCCUGGACUGGUGGCCAGCCAAUCACCGCACAUAUCCGUCGGCCGCUAGGUGGCGCGCAGCACCAGCGGCUGCGUUUACAACUUGCUACUCAGCUGAGGCAGCGCUUGCGUGCCGACCGUCCCCGGGAAGCCUCCGUCGAAGGCGGCGUUCAGCACCUGAUCCAGGUCGCCGGCGGUGACGAAGUCGAGGUCGGCCCGCACGUUCGCCGGCAGCUCGUCCAGGUCCUUUUCGUUGCGUUUGGGGAGGAUGACUCGCUUCACGCCCGCCCUGUGCGCCGCCAGGACCUUGUCUUUGAUCCCGCCCACCUGAGGAAGGCAGAGACGUCUGAUUGGUCGAGGACUCACUGUUGGUGAGCUGGUAGGUUUUGGCGUUGGCUCGGAGCCAGCUGAUUGACAGAUGCGCCGAUUCCUUCAUGACGUCUCCGAGCUGCCCCGUGAGCGUCAGCUGACCUUCGCCCUCCGUGCGACUGGCCUCCACGAACAUGAUCUCCCCGCCAAAAGGGGUCCAGGCAAGACCGAGGGCCACGCCGGGUAGGGUGAGACGCUCCGACACCUAAACCACAUACACAUAUAGGACCCACACAUACAUUUUAUGAGGGGGGGGGGGCAGACCUCAAUAAAAGAAGUCCUCUUUUCCAAAUGAGGUCAUAAAUGUGUAAAAAAGAGUGACAUAACAGGAGGCGCAUCGAAAUAAAAAUGAUUUAGAGCAGAUGUCGAGCUCAAAGACUCACAACAACAAUUGUUUUUUUUUUUUUUGGGGGGGGGGGAUUACAACAUUUGGAGAUCGACUUUCAAUCAUGUCCGAGGAUUUACGAACUUAACCCGAAUGAUCCGAUUACCUCCAUGUCGAAGAUCGGCGCUCCAAGGAUGUCUUUGAGGGCCGCAUGGUCGAUCACGAUGGGCAUCUCCGGGGGUGCCGUCUUAUCUGUUCAGUAAAUAAUAACGCAUCAGCUUCCACCCCCCCCUCACAGACAGGAACUUCAACAAAGCUGAACCAAGAAGAACGUUAUCUGAAGCACAUGGUUCCAGUUCAAGGGGACCUAUGAUGCUUUGUAUUGAGUUGUGGACUCCUAUAGAGCAGCUACACAAAAUAACCAAGCACACAAAGCUUUCUAGAUCUUCUAGAAUGUGCACCUAAUCCAGCAGUAUUUCCUCGGCUCUCAUGCUAACCAAGAAAAUGGUCUGUUUAAACUCACCUGAUAUUAUCCUAUCAAGUAGUGGAGGUCUAUCCUAUCAAGUAGAGGAGGUCUAUCCUAUCAAGUAGUCUACCCUAUCAAGCAGCGGAGGUCCACCCUAUCAAGUAGCGGAGGUCUAUCCUAUCAAGUAGAGGAGGAGGAGGUCUACCCUAUCAAGUAGUGGAGGUCUACCCUAUCAAGUAGUGGAGGUCUACCCUAUCAAGUAGUGGAGGUCUACCCUAUCAAGUAGCGGAGGUCUACCCUACCAAGUAGCGGAGGUCCACCCUAUCAAGUAGCGGAGGUCCAUCCUAUCAAGUAGCGGAAGUAUACCCUAUCAAGUAGCGGAAGUAUACCCUAUCAAGUAGCGGAGGUCCACCCUAUCAAGUAGAGGAGGAGGAGGUCUAUCCUAUCAAGUAGUCUACCCUAUCAAGCAGCGGAGGUCCACCCUAUCAAGUAGCGGAGGUCUAUCCUAUCAAGUAGAGGAGGAGGAGGUCUAUCCUAUCAAGUAGUGGAGGUCUACCCUAUCAAGUAGUGGAGGUCUACCCUAUCAAGUAGUGGAGGUCUACCCUAUCAAGUAGCGGAGGUCUACCCUACCAAGUAGCGGAGGUCCACCCUAUCAAGUAGCGGAGGUCCAUCCUAUCAAGUAGCGGAAGUAUACCCUAUCAAGUAGCGGAAGUAUACCCUAUCAAGUAGCGGAAGUAUACCCUAUCAAGUAGCGGAAGUAUACCCUAUCAAGUAGAGGAGGAGGAGGUCUAUCCUAUCAAGUAGUGGAGGUCUACCCUAUCAAGUAGUGGAGGUCUACCCUAUCAAGUAGUGGAGGUCUACCCUAUCAAGUAGUGGAGGUCUACCCUACCAAGUAGCGGAGGUCCACCCUAUCAAGUAGCGGAGGUCCACCCUAUCAAGUAGCGGAGGUCCACCCUAUCAAGUAGCGGAAGUAAACCCUAUCAAGUAGCGGAGGUCCACCCUACCAAGUAGCGGAGGUCCACCCUAUCAAGUAGCGGAGGUCCACCCUACCAAGUAGCGGAGGUCCACCCUACCAAGUAGCGGAGGUCCACCCUAUCAAGUAGCGGAGGUCCAUCCUAUCAAGUAGUGGGUGGAAGUCUACCCUAUCAAGUAGUGGGUGGAAGUCUACCCUAUCAAGUAGUGGGUGGAAGUCUACCCUAUCAAGUAGUGGGUGGAAGUCUACCCUAUCAAGUAGUGGGUGGAAGUCUACCCUAUCAAGUAGCGGAGGUCAUCAUCUUCAUCUGCGGCAUCUUACCUCCUUGCUGUGUUUGACUCUCAGAGGUCAAAUCCUCGCUCUUGGAAUCUCUCUGGUUUUCAGCGAUCUUCACGGCCACGGCUCGACAGAUCGCUCCCAUCUUCCUUUCCAGGGAGCGCACGCCCGCCUCACGCGUGUACCUGUCGGGAUAAACAACAUCAAUAGGAGCACCGGACACAAAUGGCGCCCGGAGCUGCAUUUUGGACACCCCUGUAAUCGUCGCUCGUGCAGCCACCCGCUACGCAUGCUAGUAGCUAAUUCCCAAGUCAGUCGAGUGCUUCCAAACCAAAAUGAAGUCUCUAAUGAAUUCAUGGGCGUGCGUUUGGAACCAGGGAACGCCAUAAACGGGAAGACCACCUGUCUAAUGGAUGAAGGUUGCGUAUUAGUUUGACAGAUGUUCUCGCUCCGUGCCAGCGAGAUACAAGUAGUCAAUCAAGCCCUUGACAACUUAAUGACGGCCUCCGAUAACGACUCUGCGGAAUUCCAAUGCGAGCUACCAGCUGUGCUCGCAUGGAAGCGAGGCCUCACACAGACUCUUCCAACCCAAUAUCCUGAUACGUUUCGGGAAUAGACAGGUGUCCCGGACGUCUUCCUGAAGUUAGCGUGUACCUGUUUAUGAUUUCCUUUGUAGUGUCUGCCGGGAUAUGCAGUUGUUUAUCCGUUAGUCCGUGCUGCUCCAGUUGGUUUGGGAUCAGGUGCCGGUGAGUUAUCUCCACCUUCUCUUCCUGGGUGUAGCCUGGAACACAAAUCCCGUCAUUUCAUUCGCAUGAAUUUUGUCCUUGAACUUAAGUAAAACUAAAAUCAUGUUGUUUAGUAACAGCAGAAAAGACUAAGAAUACUAAUAGACGGUGUAGACAUUGAAAGUGUGACGGAUAACUAUAAAAAUAACUGUAAAAGCAAUCUUCACUCGCUAAAUGUACUGCAAAAAAAGGCCAGUAAGGAUAAUUCAUAAUGCCGCCUACAGAGAACAUACUAACUUGUUUCUAAAAUCACAAAUCCUUCAACUUGCUGAUAUAGUUCAUCUUCAAACAGCUAAAAUAAUGCAUAAGGCUAAAAAUAAACAAUUAGCUAAAAAUGUCAUAUCACCUCGUACUUCGGUAUGGGACAAAAAAAAUAAAAAUUAAAAAAAAAAAACUCAAAUUGUAUUAAGAAAGCAGGAAGUGAACAAAUGUAACAGUUAGUACCAGAAGGAGGGGUAGGAUUUAAUAAGCUUAAUUUAAUUUAAUAAGCUGCUGGGUUCAGAGGUCCAAAACAAACAAACCAAAAAAAUUUAAUUUAAUUUAAUAAAACAAAAUUAAACUAUAAUAUGGAAAGCAGGAAGUGAACAAAUGUAACAGUUACUGAUUGUAAAAGUACCAGAUGGAGGGGUAGGAUUUAAUUAAUUUAAUUUAAUUUAAUAAAAAAAAAACUAUAUUAUGGAAAGCAGGAAGUGAACAAAUGUAACAGUUACUGAUCCUAAUCAAAUCCUAAUCAACACUUUACCACCGACCGGUUCCAAAUCUGACCUUGCAGCACAUCACGUUGCAUAACGUACGCAACAUCGGCGUAUCGAAUCGUGAUUGGACACACAGCUGGACAACACACUCGCAGUACACGUUUGAUGUUCGUGCUAACGUUGUGAGCGGCGCGACCCCCCCCCCCCCCUCCCCAACGCUGAACUCACCCGGCACCUGCAGCACUUCCAUCCUGUCCAGGAGGGCGGGGGGAAUAGUCGCCGUGGUGUUGGCAGUGGCGAUAAAAAGAACUUGAGAGAGAUCAAACGCCACGUUGAGAUAGUGGUCUGUGAAGCUGUGGUUCUGCUCCGGGUCUAGCACCUACGGGGAGAUCCAGAUCCGAAGCUUAGCUUUUCCAGAAAAGGUCAUCUCAGGGUUAGGUUCAGGUGAUGAAAAGGAAUCUGACCUCGAGCAGUGCAGCUGCAGGAUCGCCUUGGAGGCUUUUCCCCAGUUUGUCCACUUCAUCCAGGAGGAAAACUGGAUUAUUGACCCCCACUGUCUUCAAGCCGUUGAUGAUGCGGCCCGGCAUGCUGCCAACGUACGUACGUCUGGAGACACAAGGAUGGGUUGACUCCAAUAAGAGGAUGAAGACAGAUUUUUCUUUUUUUUCUGGUUUAAAAAAAUAAAUCAAUUAAAAAAAGAGGAGGGGAAAAAGAAAAAAUCCAUCAGUUGUCUUUUUUUUGUUUUUUGUGGUUAAAAAAAUAAAACAAUAAAUUUUAAAAAGAGAAAAUUUUUUUUAUUUUUUGUCGUUAAAAAAAAUCAAUAAAUAAAGAGAAAAAAAAAUUAAAAAUCCAUCAAUUAUAUUUUUUGUGGUUAAAAACAAUUAAUUAAAAAAGAGGAGAAGAAAAAGAAAAAAUCCAUCAGUUGUCUUUUUUUCUUUUUUUGUGGUUAAAAAAAGAAAUCAAUAAAUAAAAAAAGAGGAAAUUUUUUUUUUAAAUCCAUCAAUUAUAUUUUUUGUGGUUAAAAACUAUUAAUUAAAAAAGAGAAGAAGAAAAAGAAAAAAUCCAUCAAUUGUCUUUUUUUUGUUUUUUGUGGUUAAAUAAAUAAAACAAUAAAUUAAAAAAAAGAGGAAAAAAUCCAUCAAUUUUCUUUUUUGUGGUAAAAAAAAGGAAUCAAUAAAUAAAAAAAGAGAAAAAAAAAUAAAAAAUCCAUCAAUUAUAUUUUUUGUGGUUAAAAACAAUUAAUUAAAGAGGAGAAGAAAAAGAAAAAAUCCAUCAAUUGUCUUUUUUUUGUUUUUUUUGUGGUUAAAAAAUAAAACAAUAAAUUUAAAAAAAAAGAGAAAAAAAAUCCAUCAAUUUUCUUUUUUGUGGUUAAAAAAAGAAAUCAAUAAAUAAAGAGAAAAAAAAAUAAAAAAUCCAUCAAUUAUAUUUUUUUGUGGUUAAAAACUAUUAAUUAAAAAAGAGGAGAAGAAAAAGAAAAAAUCCAUCAGUUGUCUUUUUUUUGUUUUUUUUGUGGUUAAAAAAAUAAAACAAUAAAUUUUUAAAAAAGAGAAAAAAAAUCCAUCAAUUUUCUUUUUUGUGGUUAAAAAAAUAAAUCAAUAAAUAAAAAAAGAGAAAAAAAAUUAAAAAUCCAUCAAUUA
Molecule: non-coding RNA, 5745 nt
Organism: Doryrhamphus excisus (bluestripe pipefish)
Lineage: Eukaryota; Metazoa; Chordata; Actinopteri; Syngnathiformes; Syngnathidae
Source: RefSeq, a predicted model, not a curated record